Long non-coding RNA from Poecilia latipinna (sailfin molly), 398 nucleotides. RefSeq lists it as uncharacterized. Lineage: Eukaryota; Metazoa; Chordata; Actinopteri; Cyprinodontiformes; Poeciliidae. The record is from RefSeq and is a predicted model, not a curated record. The transcript has 4 exons.
UCCCGGUCCCCACAGUUGUCCUCCGUGCUUCGCUCUUCUUUUUUUUUUCUAGCUCAGUCAGUCCCACCAGCAGCCGGGUGCUACAGGAGGAGUUCCCGUUGCCGUCUUGGACUUAUUUUCAUUCCAGAUCGGACACCGAAUAACUAUCUCGGAAGAUGCUCUUCUUUCUGCUACCUGCCUUGGCUCUCUUGCUGAGCACCGAAACGGCGGUCUACGCUAUCAGUCACGAGAAAUGGCCGGGCACCGUGGCUCAGUACAACAAGGAUCGAUCCUGGAACAGAUUCAGAGAUGGUUAAGCAAGAAGUUAGUUCCUCAAACCCUUCUGUGAUACAGGGUUUAUCCAUAAAUUCCCAGGUUUCUUGAAUGUCUUGAUUGAAUUUGCUUCACUUUUCUGAGGU